CCUACGGGCGGCAGCAGUGAGGAAUAUUGGUCAAUGGGCGAGAGCCUGAACCAGCCAAGUCGCGUGAGGGAGUACUGCCCUAUGGGUUGUAAACCUCUUUUGUCGGGGAGCAAAAGCCGGACGUGUCCGGCUGUGAGAGUACCCGAAGAAAAAGCAUCGGCUAACUCCGUGCCAGCAGCCGCGGUAAUACGGAGGAUGCGAGCGUUAUCCGGAUUUAUUGGGUUUAAAGGGUGCGCAGGCGGAUUUUUAAGUCAGCGGUAAAAUCGUGGGGCUCAACCCCAUCCAGCCGUUGAAACUGGGGAUCUAGAGUGUGCGAGAGGUAUGCGGAAUUCGUGGUGUAGCGGUGAAAUGCAUAGAUAUCACGCAGAACCCCGAUUGCGAAGGCAGCAUACCGGUGCACAACUGACGCUCAGGCACGAAAGCGUGGGUAUCGAACAGGAUUAGAUACCCGGGUAGUC
RNAcentral lists this ribosomal RNA (458 nucleotides) under uncultured bacterium. RNAcentral's name for it is "partial 16S ribosomal RNA". It matches the Rfam family "Bacterial small subunit ribosomal RNA", at positions 338 to 795 of the family's 1533-position model. The record is from RNAcentral.